Molecule: ribosomal RNA, 253 nt
Filed under: uncultured bacterium
Lineage: Bacteria
Description: partial 16S ribosomal RNA
Rfam family: Bacterial small subunit ribosomal RNA
Source: RNAcentral
UACGUAGGGGGCAAGCGUUAUCCGGAUUUACUGGGUGUAAAGGGAGCGUAGACGGCUUUGCAAGCCAGAUGUGAAAGCCCGGGGCUCAACCUCGGGACUGCAUUGGAAACUGGCGGGCUGGAGUGCCGGAGAGGUAAGCGGAAUUCCUAGUGUAGCGGUGAAAUGCGUAGAUAUUAGGAGGAACACCAGUGGCGAAGGCGGCUUACUGGACGGCAACUGACGCUGAGGCUCGAAAGCGUGGGGAGCAAACAGG